GUGCAGCAGGCGCGAAACCUCCGCAAUGCACGCAAGUAUGACGGGGGAACCCCAAGUGCCACUCUUAACGGGGUGGCUUUUCAGAAGUGUAAAAAGCUUCUGGAAUAAGGGCUGGGCAAGACCGGUGCCAGCCGCCGCGGUAACACCGGCAGCUCAAGUGGUAGCCGCUUUUAUUGGGCCUAAAGCGUCCGUAGCCGGUCUGAUAAGUCUCUGGUGAAAUCCCACAGCUUAACUGUGGGAAUUGCUGGAGAUACUAUCAUGACUCGAGGUCGGGAGAGGCUGGAGGUACUCCCAGGGUAGGGGUGAAAUCCUGUAAUCCUGGGAGGACCACCUGUGGCGAAGGCGUCCAGCUGGAACGAACCUGACGGUGAGGGACGAAAGCCAGGGGCGCGAACCGGAUUAGAUACCCGGGUAGUCC
This 418-nucleotide ribosomal RNA is filed under the name uncultured archaeon. RNAcentral's name for it is "bacterial SSU rRNA". It matches the Rfam family "Archaeal small subunit ribosomal RNA", at positions 330 to 747 of the family's 1478-position model. The record is from RNAcentral.